RNAcentral lists this long non-coding RNA (2233 nucleotides) under Triticum aestivum (bread wheat). Its description in RNAcentral is "long non-coding RNA (TAES_LNC006856)". Lineage: Eukaryota; Viridiplantae; Streptophyta; Magnoliopsida; Poales; Poaceae. The record is from RNAcentral.
UGAGUUCAGCAUAGAGCAUAUAGAUUAAGGAUAUACCAAAAGCAAGGUAUAGUUGUUCCCAAGAUAACUGACCUACAACUUUACUACAAAGCAUAAAGGCAAAAAGUGUACCAAAAGCAAGGGAUGGUGCUUGCUCAGAACAACUGAUUUGAACUCUAUUGCAUCAAGUUCAGUACAAAGUGUAAAGAAAUAUGGCCAAGUAGUUCAUAAACAUAAUGAGAUACGACAAUUGGGAACAAAGCUCUAGAAAUAUAGACAAUAAUAAGCCAUUUGUCUUUGUUAAUGAAAGAACAUCUAUGUUAGCUUAUAGUUGACCAUUACUGAGUACUCCUACUUCCUCCUUCCAAGUGAAAAGGGUAUAUUCUGAGGCGAAUCUAAUGCAAAUAGUAGUGGCCAAUACUUGAGCGACUUUAUCUUGCUAAUGAUAAUAUGGAAUAUCUGCAAAAUAACAGAAUUAGCUGAUGAACCUAGGCACUAUGCAAGCUAUACAAAAUUCAUAAAUGGCAUACUGAGAUUGAACGCAAAUUAGUAACAUUGUGCCAGUAGAGUAAAGUGCAGAAGAUGGUACUUCACAAUUGAGAGAUCCAAAUGAAUAUUGCAACAGAACAAAGACGGUGCCUGCAAGAAACAAUGAUGUAGGUGAGAGUAACAUAUCAGUAACUUGAUACUUCGGCAGCAAAAACGGGUGAUAUAAAUCGUGUCCAUCCAAAGGAAAUUACAAUACUGUGACAGGACCAAUGAGUUUAGUAUAGAUAACAAAGAGCAUAGAUAUAUUAAAAGCAAAGAAAUUAAGUAUAUUCAAUCAAUGAUAUAAUUAAUUUGCAGGCUGAUGACAAAAUUUGUUACAAAAUCCAAAGCGGUAGUGCCAUGAAAAACUGGUUCGCAUCAAGUUCAAUCAAAUCAUAAAUAUUCAAGAUAUCAAAGUUGGAAUGUUAAUCUCCAAAUUCCAGAACCAUACAUCAUCGACAACAUUAUAGACCGGUAGUGUGCCUUGGUGCACCUGUUACGUCCAUCCCAUUGGUCUAGCGUGUCAAACCCAAUACGAUGCCAAAUACAAAACAAAAAAGUUUGUAUAGCAUGACCAGACGAAAGGAGAGUAGAUGCCCUUUACGGAAUUUUUUUUGCAUAUUUAAUCACUCAACAAACCAGCAUAUAGAUCCUUGGUUGCCAUGUUUUUUAACACAAUUGAGCCCAGAACCAAAGAAAAACUGGUGGAAGGAAUCUGAAGAGGGCCAUUGGGCCAGGUUAGAAAUGGUAGACAACUGACCAUCAGGAAAGCAAAUAGAAAAACAAUAAUAAUAAGUUAUUUCAAGAUAAAAGUCCCGAUUUAUGUUGUUUGGACAUAUAGACAUGUGUAAUAGUUUUCCCUUUUCUCUCUUGACUCUCUUAAAAAGCUUGUGCAUUCAUAUAGUUAUAAGCCUAACUGAAUUAAUAUGCUAGUUAGAAAUUGGAUCAACGACACGCUGAAAUCAAAACAGGAAUAAAUCAUCCUAAGCAAGCACAAAACAAAUGAUCAUAUCAGGGCUUUGCCAACAUAUAACUAAGCAGACUGACCAGAAAAAGGAUAAUCAAAUUAGGGUAUGCUGACCAACAACCUUAAAUAGCGGCCAACCCAAAAUUAACAUAGAGUUGUGAGGCUAACCAUAAGAAAGAUUAGCUUUUCGUCGAAAACACAAACACAAGCACCCUGGCAAUAAAGAGAUUACACAAAUAUAUUACAAUGCAGGUUUGGCAUAACCAGCACAUACCAAGCAACAGUUCACCACUAUAACAUCAGUUUAAACUACUCGGCUCUCGGUGAAGCAUGGGAACAUUUAGAAACCCUAACACCCUAAGCAACAAAUGCAGAGAGCUCUCGAGCGAACACAAUUCAAUGUCAUUUCAAACUACAGGGGUCCCCAAGCACCACACUAUAUGCACUGCCACAACACUCAAAAAAUCUGAAUAAAGGUAUGCUCAUAGCCAUCAUGGGGUUGUUAAUUAGGGCACCACUAAUCUAUUCGAGAGAACAAUGUGCAUAGAUAAUUGUGAAGAAUUUAAGAUGUCCAGAAUGAAACCCACAUCUAUUAGAGAUGAACCUGCAUCAGUGGCUCGAGUAGCAGGUUGCGCCUCCUGGUGAAGAAGUGUCAGACAUGAGAACAACAAAGGAGGCCAAAAGCAUCACGGCUAUUUCUGAUGUUGACCUUCAAAAUUUCUGAGUGCUCAAUUCCAAAUCAAUUUUGAACUAACACGG